This 317-nucleotide unclassified non-coding RNA is filed under the name Hevea brasiliensis (rubber tree). The record is from RNAcentral. Lineage: Eukaryota; Viridiplantae; Streptophyta; Magnoliopsida; Malpighiales; Euphorbiaceae.
GCACUUCUUAGUGCUCCAAACCCUGAUGACCCUCUUUCUGAGAACAUUGCAAAGCAUUGGAAAACUAAUGAGGCUGAAGCUGUUGAAACAGCAAAGGAAUGGACCCGUUUGUAUGCAAGUGGUGCAUGAUAGUGUGGUGGAAACUUUCCUUCAAAUGACGUUGGUGUGAUAUAUGCUAUUAACUGUUAAUCAAAAUUUCAAGAUUUGAUGUUUGAACAAGUUAUAAUUUAAUAUUUUUCAAAGCUUCCAGGUACUGCCUAUUAAAUUGUCCUCUGAUGUUGGAAGCAUCGUCUUUGAACUUGUAUGAUAAGGAACGC